AAGUCGUAACAAGGUUUCCAUAGGUGAACCUGCGGAAGGAUCAUUAUCGAAUAAACUAGGUGGGUUGUUGCUGUCCCUCUCGGGGGAAUUGUGCACACCUUACCUUUUUUGUUUUUCCACCUGUGCACACACUGUAGGUCUGAAGGAGGGGAAGGGGGGGAAGUAACACUCUCCCCCUGAAACACUUUCAGGUCCUAUGUAUUUUACACAUACACUAUUAAAAGUAACAGAACGAUUCAAUGGGCUUUUCCAAGCCUAUAAACUAUAUACAACUUUCAGCAACGGAUCUCUUGGCUCUC
RNAcentral lists this unclassified non-coding RNA (299 nucleotides) under Panaeolus subfirmus. Its description in RNAcentral is "partial internal transcribed spacer region". The stretch from base 1 to 46 matches the Rfam family "Eukaryotic small subunit ribosomal RNA", at positions 1786 to 1831 of the family's 1831-position model. The record is from RNAcentral. Lineage: Eukaryota; Fungi; Basidiomycota; Agaricomycetes; Agaricales.